Molecule: small nucleolar RNA, 138 nt
Filed under: Ornithorhynchus anatinus (platypus)
Lineage: Eukaryota; Metazoa; Chordata; Mammalia; Monotremata; Ornithorhynchidae
Source: RNAcentral
CCCCUCUCAGAAUCGCAUCUGGAGAGUUUCCAGUUCUCUACCAGUUUUGACUAUGGGAGGGAGAGUCAAGCAGAGGUCUGUCCAUUCCAUUCCUAGCUUGGGAAGUGGCUAGAGAGUGGAAGGCCACCUGCUACAAGU